GACAUUGUCAGGUGGGGAGUU
RNAcentral lists this non-coding RNA (21 nucleotides) under Arabidopsis thaliana (thale cress). Lineage: Eukaryota; Viridiplantae; Streptophyta; Magnoliopsida; Brassicales; Brassicaceae. RNAcentral also lists the same sequence under 1 other name. The record is from RNAcentral.